ACUCCUACGGGAGGCAGCAGUGGGGAAUAUUGCACAAUGGGGGAAGCCCUGAUGCAGCCAUGCCGCGUGUGUGAAGAAGGCCUUCGGGUUGUAAAGCACUUUCAGUAGGGAGGAAGGUAGUGUAGUUAACACCUGCACUAUUUGACGUUACCUACAGAAGAAGCACCGGCUAACUCCGUGCCAGCAGCCGCGGUAAUACGGAGGGUGCGAGCGUUAAUCGGAAUUACUGGGCGUAAAGCGCAUGCAGGCGGCCUGUUAAGUCAGAUGUGAAAGCCCGGGGCUUAACCUCGGAAUUGCAUUUGAAACUGGCAGGCUAGAGUCUUGUAGAGGGGGGUUAGAAUUUCAGGUGUAGCGGUGAAAUGCGUAGAGAUCUGAAGGAUACCAGUGGCGAAGGCGGCCCCCUGGACAAAGACUGACGCUCAGAUGCGAAAGCGUGGGGAGCAAACAGGAUUAGAUACCCUGGUAGCACA
This 470-nucleotide ribosomal RNA is filed under the name uncultured bacterium. Its description in RNAcentral is "bacterial SSU rRNA". It matches the Rfam family "Bacterial small subunit ribosomal RNA", at positions 335 to 797 of the family's 1533-position model. The record is from RNAcentral.